GAUGAACGCUGGCGGCGUGCCUAAUACAUGCAAGUCGAGCGAACAGGCGAGGAGCUUGCUCCUCUGACGUUAGCGGCGGACGGGUGAGUAACACGUGGAUAACCUACCUAUAAGACUGGGAUAACUUCGGGAAACCGGAGCUAAUACCGGAUAAUAUAUUGAACCGCAUGGUUCAAUAGUGAAAGACGGUUUUGCUGUCACUUAUAGAUGGAUCCGCGCCGCAUUAGCUAGUUGGUAAGGUAACGGCUUACCAAGGCAACGAUGCGUAGCCGACCUGAGAGGGUGAUCGGCCACACUGGGACUGAGACACGGUCCAGACUCCUACGGGAGGCAGCAGUAGGGAAUCUUCCGCAAUGGGCGAAAGCCUGACGGAGCAACGCCGCGUGAGUGAUGAAGGUCUUCGGAUCGUAAAACUCUGUUAUUAGGGAAGAACAAAUGUGUAAGUAACUAUGCACGUCUUGACGGUACCUAAUCAGAAAGCCACGGCUAACUACGUG
RNAcentral lists this ribosomal RNA (497 nucleotides) under uncultured bacterium. RNAcentral's name for it is "partial 16S ribosomal RNA". It matches the Rfam family "Bacterial small subunit ribosomal RNA", at positions 28 to 507 of the family's 1533-position model. The record is from RNAcentral.